AUAUGGUCUACUUCAGACUCUGACUCUGUUCCACCACAUGCCUUUAAAAAGCAACAUUUCUGUUAAAGGUAUGAUUGGGGAAACUAAAGAGGAAUUAACUCGUGAGAGAAUCUCGAUACCCCCACUCGAUAGUGAUGAGGAAGACCGGUCAUCCUCGAGAAGGUCCAUGAAUCCAUCUUGUGACAACACAAAUGACAAGAAAAAAAAAAAGGCAGCAGUUCAAAGCAUACAAAAAAGGAAGAAUUUAAUGGAUAUCCUAAAAGAAAAGAAAAAAGUUAUCCAGACCAGUUUUGAAUCACAAGAGGAACAUGUCCCCAUGGCUGUGCACAAGGAACUGCAAGACAAAUAUUACAACCUCAAAAAAAGGAUGCGAGAGGAGGAGAUGGCUAAUGAAGAAAAUGGGAAAAAAAUUAAAUGCUUAAAAGAAGAGAAAAGGGACAUGAAGGCUGAACUGCAGCAACUAAGGUGGUUAAACCUAAAUCUCCAAGAGGAGCUUUUCCAAAAAAAAAAAAUAACACAGAAUGAGACCUCUUCUGCAGUCCAUACUCCACUCCCACAACAGCCAUUUCAUGGUCCAGAAAAACUAGCAGAAGAGCAAACAGACAUGAUACCCAAAAUAAAACGAAAAGAACCACAGACCUCUUCUGCAGGCCACACUCAACUCCCACAGCAACCAGUUCUUGGUCCAGAAGAACCAGAAGAGGAGCUAAGACACAGCGAUGGCAAGGAUCUAGGAUACGGAGUCAUGAUACCCACAAAAAUGGGACAUUGUGAGGAGAGUUGAGGGUGACUCAAAAUUCUGUAAGAGCCUGGCUGUUGUUA
This is a long non-coding RNA of Cyprinus carpio carpio, 822 nucleotides long. Lineage: Eukaryota; Metazoa; Chordata; Actinopteri; Cypriniformes; Cyprinidae. The record is from Ensembl.